RNAcentral lists this transfer RNA (65 nucleotides) under Stagmatoptera biocellata. RNAcentral's name for it is "tRNA-Ile". The record is from RNAcentral. Lineage: Eukaryota; Metazoa; Arthropoda; Insecta; Mantodea; Mantidae.
GGUAAAAUGCCUGAACAAAGGGUUAUCGUGAUAGGAUAAACAAUGUAACAUUUUUACUUUUACCA